AACGAACGCUGGCGGCAUGCCUAACACAUGCAAGUCGAACGAGACCUUCGGGUCUAGUGGCGCACGGGUGCGUAACGCGUGGGAACCUGCCCUUAGGUUCGGAAUAACUCCCCGAAAGGGGUGCUAAUACCGGAUAAUUUCUUCUGACCAAAGAUUUAUCGCCUUUGGAUGGGCCCGCGUUGGAUUAGCUAGUUGGUAGGGUAAAAGCCUACCAAGGCGACGAUCCAUAGCUGGUCUGAGAGGAUGAUCAGCCACACUGGGACUGAGACACGGCCCAGACUCCUACGGGAGGCAGCAGUGGGGAAUAUUGGACAAUGGGCGAAAGCCUGAUCCAGCAAUGCCGCGUGAGUGAUGAAGGCCUUAGGGUUGUAAAGCUCUUUUACCCGGGAUGAUAAUGACAGUACCGGGAGAAUAAGCACCGGCUAACUCCGUG
This 433-nucleotide ribosomal RNA is filed under the name uncultured bacterium. RNAcentral's name for it is "partial 16S ribosomal RNA". It matches the Rfam family "Bacterial small subunit ribosomal RNA", at positions 29 to 507 of the family's 1533-position model. The record is from RNAcentral.